This 121-nucleotide ribosomal RNA is filed under the name Petromyzon marinus (sea lamprey). Lineage: Eukaryota; Metazoa; Chordata; Hyperoartia; Petromyzontiformes; Petromyzontidae. The record is from RNAcentral.
CACAACGACAAAAUCACCUGGAAUGUGCCCGACCUCGUCAGAUCUUGCAAACUAAGCCAGGUUGAGCUUGGAUAGUGCUAGGAUGGGUGACCGCCCAUGCAUCAACAAUUUGUCCUUAUGA